UCGUAACAAGGUUUCCGUAGGUGAACCUGCGGAAGGAUCAUUACCGAGCGAGAAUUCUCUGAAUUCAACCUCCCACCCGUGUUUAUUGUACCUUGUUGCUUCGGCGGGCCCGCCUCACGGCCGCCGGGGGGCAUCUGCCCCCGGGCCCGCGCCCGCCGAAGACACCUUGAACUCUGUAUGAAAAUUGCAGUCUGAGUCUAAAUAUAAAUUAUUUAAAACUUUCAACAACGGAUCUCUUGGUUCCGGCAUCGAUGAAGAACGCAGCGAAAUGCGAUACGUAAUGUGAAUUGCAGAAUUCAGUGAAUCAUCGAGUCUUUGAACGCACAUUGCGCCCCCUGGUAUUCCGGGGGGCAUGCCUGUCCGAGCGUCAUUGCUGCCCUCAAGCCCGGCUUGUGUGUUGGGUCUCGUCCCCCUUCCCGGGGGGACGGGCCCGAAAGGCAGCGGCGGCACCGCGUCCGGUCCUCGAGCGUAUGGGGCUUUGUCACCCGCUCUGUAGGCCCGGCCGGCGCUUGCCGAUCAACCAAAACUUUUUUCCAGGUUGACCUCGGAUCAGGUAGGGAUACCCGCUGAACCUAAGCAUAUCA
RNAcentral lists this unclassified non-coding RNA (584 nucleotides) under Penicillium radiatolobatum. RNAcentral describes it as "sequence contains 18S rRNA gene, ITS1, 5.8S rRNA gene, ITS2, 28S rRNA gene". The stretch from base 217 to 370 matches the Rfam family "5.8S ribosomal RNA". The record is from RNAcentral. Lineage: Eukaryota; Fungi; Ascomycota; Eurotiomycetes; Eurotiales; Aspergillaceae.